UACAGAGGGUGCGAGCGUUAAUCGGAAUUACUGGGCGUAAAGCGUGCGUAGACGGUAAUGUAAGUCAGAUGUGAAAUCCCCGGGCUCAACCUGGGAACUGCGUUUGUGACUGUAUGACUAGAGUACGGUAGAGAGGGGUGGAAUUCCUGGUGUAGCAGUGAAAUGCGUAGAUAUCAGGAGGAACAUCGAUGGCGAAGGCAGCCCCUUGGACCUGUACUGACGCUCAUGCACGAAAGCGUGGGGAGCAAACAGG
This 253-nucleotide ribosomal RNA is filed under the name uncultured bacterium. Its description in RNAcentral is "partial 16S ribosomal RNA". It matches the Rfam family "Bacterial small subunit ribosomal RNA", at positions 524 to 776 of the family's 1533-position model. The record is from RNAcentral.